RNAcentral lists this ribosomal RNA (495 nucleotides) under uncultured bacterium. Its description in RNAcentral is "partial 16S ribosomal RNA". It matches the Rfam family "Bacterial small subunit ribosomal RNA", at positions 28 to 507 of the family's 1533-position model. The record is from RNAcentral.
GACGAACGCUGGCGGCGUGCCUAAUACAUGCAAGUAGAACGCUGAAGGAGGAGCUUGCUUCUCUGGAUGAGUUGCGAACGGGUGAGUAACGCGUAGGCAACCUGCCUGGUAGCGGGGGAUAACUAUUGGAAACGAUAGCUAAUACCGCAUAAGAGUAGAUGUUGCAUGACAUUUGCUUAAAAGGUGCAAUUGCAUCACUACCAGAUGGACCUGCGUUGUAUUAGCUAGUUGGUGGGGUAACGGCUUACCAAGGCGACGAUACAUAGCCGACCUGAGAGGGUGAUCGGCCACACUGGGACUGAGACACGGCCCAGACUCCUACGGGAGGCAGCAGUAGGGAAUCUUCGGCAAUGGACGGAAGUCUGACCGAGCAACGCCGCGUGAGUGAAGAAGGUUUUCGGAUCGUAAAGCUCUGUUGUAAGAGAAGAACGAGUGUGAGAGUGGAAAGUUCACACUGUGACGGUAUCUUACCAGAAAGGGACGGCUAACUACGUG